UAACUAUUGGAAACGAUAGCUAAUACCGCAUAACAAUGGAUGACCCAUGUCAUUCAUUUGAAAGGGGCAACUGCUCCACUACAAGAUGGACCUGCGUUGUAUUAGCUAGUAGGUGAGGUAACGGCUUACCUAGGCGACGAUACAUAGCCGACCUGAGAGGGUGAUCGGCCACACUGGGACUGAGACACGGCCCAG
This 195-nucleotide ribosomal RNA is filed under the name uncultured Sphingobacteriales bacterium. RNAcentral's name for it is "partial 16S ribosomal RNA". It matches the Rfam family "Bacterial small subunit ribosomal RNA", at positions 144 to 334 of the family's 1533-position model. Lineage: Bacteria; Pseudomonadati; Bacteroidota; Sphingobacteriia; Sphingobacteriales. The record is from RNAcentral.